Molecule: long non-coding RNA, 808 nt
Organism: Oncorhynchus tshawytscha (Chinook salmon)
Lineage: Eukaryota; Metazoa; Chordata; Actinopteri; Salmoniformes; Salmonidae
Source: Ensembl
AAGGCUUCGUGGCAGUCAUCCCUUUCGGCACACUAGUGGCCAUCUUCGCUUUGUGGUUUGGCAUCUCCGUAGGCAGAGGCAUGCAGAUCCAUGAACAUUCCAUCUUCAUCCAGCCCAUGCCUGGUAUUGUCAAGGGGGGCAUCAUGCCCUUUGGCUGCAUCUUCCUCCAGCAAAUUUUUUUUAUCCUCAACAACAUCUGGUCAUCUUAGGUUUUAUUACAUACAGUCGGGAGGAACUAUUGGAUAUAAUAGCAAUGUCAACUCACCAACAUUACGACCAGGACUUUCCCGAAGCGGAUCCUCUGUUUGGCCUACUACCCAGGACAAUGGAUCGGAUCCCAGCCGGCGACCCAAAACAAAGAUGCCGUAGAAGGGGCAGACAGAGCAGUCUUCUGGUCAGGCUCCAUAGACUGGCACAUCGCGCACCGCUCCCGAGCACACUACUCGCCAAUGUCCAGUCUCUUGACAACAAGGUAGACGAAAUCCGAGCAUGGGUAGCAUUCCAGAGAGACAUGAGGGUACCUCCGUGAGGGUACCUCAGGAGGCUGAAGAAAUUUGGCUUGUCACCAAAAACACUCACAAACUUUUACAGAUGCACAAUCGAGAGCAUCCUGUUGGGCUGUAUCACAGCCUGGUAUGGCAGCUGCUCCGCCCAUAACCGGAAGGCACUCCAGAGGGUAGUGAGGUCUGCACAACGCAUCACCGGGUGCAAACUACCUGCCCUCCAGGACACCUAAACACCCGAUGUCACAGGAAGGCCAAAAAGAUCAUCAAGGACAACAACCACCUGAGCCACUGCCUGUUCACCC